RNAcentral lists this transfer RNA (59 nucleotides) under Camelus ferus (Wild Bactrian camel). It matches the Rfam family "tRNA". From Rfam's summary of the family: Transfer RNA (tRNA) molecules are approximately 80 nucleotides in length. Their secondary structure includes four short double-helical elements and three loops (D, anti-codon, and T loops). The record is from Rfam by way of RNAcentral. Lineage: Eukaryota; Metazoa; Chordata; Mammalia; Artiodactyla; Camelidae.
GGGGGUAUGGCGCACGCUUAACAUGCGUGAUGCCCUGGGUUCAAUCCCCAGUGCCUCCA